Molecule: long non-coding RNA, 1822 nt
Organism: Mus musculus (house mouse)
Lineage: Eukaryota; Metazoa; Chordata; Mammalia; Rodentia; Muridae
Product: predicted gene, 36026
Exons: 2
Source: RefSeq, a predicted model, not a curated record
GUGUGUGUGUCUGUCUGUCUGUCUGUCUGUCUGUCUGUCUGUCUGAGGACACUUCCAGAAAGACCAAUCUAGAAAUCCCCAAGGAUUGCACAGAGACCAUAUUCCUUCCUUGCCUGUCUUUUGCUAGGAGUCCCCAGCCUUGGGCUUCCAGCAUGCUAGGAAAAGGGAAAUCCUAUUUACACCAGGCCCUCUCACAUCCCCCUCAGUCAACACUCCGUUUUCAGGUGAAAAUCAAUUUAGGUGUGUGUUUAUCACCCCCUCUCUAACACAGGCCCACACCCAGCAAGAUUGGAGAUUUUUUUUUCCAGCAAACCAAAGGGAGGGAACCGCGGCCGGCGCCGCACCGAGCUGUGAGAGAAAGCGGAAGGAGAAACGGAGCAGCUGGUCAGACAGUCAUGGCUCUGAUAAUUAAAGCCUCAAAACGGGAAAUGGACUGACUACCCUGAAGAGAAUCAAGCUUCCAAGUCAGGGAGUGUUCACUCUGGUACAUACAGCACCAGAAGAUGCAUAGUUGAUGGGAAGGACUGUGUCAUCGGCCCCAAGAAGCCGGAAGACCCAGGGUCAAGUGAGAUGGCGAAGCUUCCUUCUUCACACCGCUGCCACCUGAAGCCCACCGGGUCUACAAUGAAAACUUCCAAGUUUCAUUUGGCCCUUUCCUACCUUCUCUGGUCCCUCGGAACAUUCUAGAGCCUCCCUUAAUGGGAAUCUUUUGAAGUUGGAAAAGAACAUCUUCCAGUCAUCUACUCCUAAAAGCCUGUGCUUCGUGGGAUCUGGCUAAGAAUUUCUGAAUGCCUGGCUUUCCUAUAACUCUCCGGAGUACCCCAGGAAGCUAACAAGUCAGGUGCAGAUGCUUCUGGCUCUGGGUGCUCUGGACUAGCCAAGAAGAGACUCUUGGGCCAAGGGCUGUUCAGUUGAUAGAGUGCCAGCCCAGCAUGCACAGACGUUUCAUCCCCAACACCACAUAAACUAAGCAUGGUGGUGCACACCUGUAAUCCUAUGUCUCAGGAGGUCGAUACAAGAGGACCAGACGUUUAUACGCAUCUUCAGCAACAUAGCAAGUUCAGGGUCAGCCAGGACUACAUGUUAAGCACUGUCUCCCGGAUGAAGAGAAGUGUCCUUUCUGUUUCCCAGAUUCAUAGGAUCAGUGACAUAAGGAGAAGCCUCAGAGACCAGAAGAGCCCUGAAAAGACAAUGGCAGGGUGGCCUUUGGGAGGUGUGUUAGCCUCAGUGUCUCAGCCCACCAUGGCCAAGGCCAUCACCAUUUGUUCUCCACAGUCAUGUCAUGUGAAUGGCAGGAUGGAGAGCAGAGGGUUUUGAGACUAGGCGUAAGAAGAUAGGGGCUUUGGAUGCACAGAGGGCUGGAUGGCCAAUGUGUACCUGGUCAGAGAUCACUCUGCACAGCCCUGGCCAGGAGACUCUGGCUUAGGAAGGUCCCUCUGAUUGAUGCAACGAAGCAUAGACAGCAAAGAAACAGCCGCAUCCAGGGCUGUCUUAGAAACAGCUCAGAACUGGGGGCCACAGACACCCCGAUAUCGCAGGAGCUUUAGUAGAUCAUCAGCCAUAAAAGCAACUGCAACCUUGGAGAGGAAGGGCUGAGGGAGGCUCCUCAGAAGGGAGUGCCCCAAGGCCAGCCCUGCCCACAGUCCCCAUUGACUUGAGGGAGCAAUGCCUCUGUUCUGGGGAAAUCUUUGUGCUCCAACCUCGCUCCCCUGUCAGCUUCCUCCUCUGAUACUCAUGGGUGUGCCUAAACUGCCUCUGAUCGUUCCAGCUUCACCAACAUCAACAAAAAUUUUAUGAGUCUAUAUAACAUUCGAUUAUCUAA